AAGUUGGGCACUCUAAGUUGACUGCCGGUGACAAACCGGAGGAAGGUGGGGAUGACGUCAAAUCAUCAUGCCCCUUAUGAUUUGGGCUACACACGUGCUACAAUGGACAAUACAAAGGGUAGCGAAACCGCGAGGUCAAGCAAAUCCCAUAAAGUUGUUCUCAGUUCGGAUUGUAGUCUGCAACUCGACUAUAUGAAGCUGGAAUCGCUAGUAAUCGUAGAUCAGCAUGCUACGGUGAAUACGUUCC
This 247-nucleotide ribosomal RNA is filed under the name Staphylococcus epidermidis. Its description in RNAcentral is "partial 16S ribosomal RNA". It matches the Rfam family "Bacterial small subunit ribosomal RNA", at positions 1128 to 1374 of the family's 1533-position model. The record is from RNAcentral. Lineage: Bacteria; Bacillati; Bacillota; Bacilli; Caryophanales; Staphylococcaceae.